UUCGCAAUGCCCGAAAGGGUGAACGAGCGACGCCGCGUGCGGGAUGAAGGCCCUCGGGUUGUAAACCGCUUUUGCAAGGGAAAAACUUAAUGAUGGUACCUUGCGAAUAAGAGGUUACUAACUCUGUGCCAGCAGUAGCGGUAAUACAGAGACCUCAAGCGUUAUCCGGAUUUACUGGGCUUAAAGCGCGCGUAGGCGGGCCGGCACGUCCGUCGCUGAAAGCCCCCGGCUCAACCGGGGAACCGGCGGGGAUACGACUGGCCUGGAGGGGCGUAGGGGGACCUGGAACUUCCGGUGGAGCGGUGAAAUGCGUUGAGAUCGGAAGGAACGCCCGUGGCGAAAGCGAGGUCCUGGACGCCUGCUGACGCUGAGGCGCGAAAGCCAGGGGAGCGAACGGGAUUAGAUACCCCGGUAGUCCUGGCCGUAAACGAUGGGCACUAAGUAGAGGGGUUUU
Molecule: ribosomal RNA, 454 nt
Filed under: uncultured bacterium
Lineage: Bacteria
Description: bacterial SSU rRNA
Rfam family: Bacterial small subunit ribosomal RNA
Source: RNAcentral